GACGAACGCUGGCGGCGUGCUUAACACAUGCAAGUCGAACGGAAAGGCCCUGCUUUUGUGGGGUGCUCGAGUGGCGAACGGGUGAGUAACACGUGAGUAACCUGCCCUUGACUUUGGGAUAACUUCAGGAAACUGAGGCUAAUACCGGAUAGGAGCUCCUGCUGCAUGGUGGGGGUUGGAAAGUUUCGGCGGUUGGGGAUGGACUCGCGGCUUAUCAGCUUGUUGGUGGGGUAGUGGCUUACCAAGGCUUUGACGGGUAGCCGGCCUGAGAGGGUGACCGGCCCACGUGGGACUGAGAUACGGCCCAGACUACUACGGGAGGCAGAAGUGGGGAAUAAUGCCCGAUGGGCGGAAGUCUGGUGCAGCAAGGCCGCGUGCGGGAUGACGGCCUUCGGGUUGGAAACCGCUUUCGCCUGUGACGGAGCGUGAGUGAAGGUAAUGGGUAAAGAAGCACCGGCUAACUACGUG
RNAcentral lists this ribosomal RNA (468 nucleotides) under uncultured bacterium. RNAcentral's name for it is "partial 16S ribosomal RNA". It matches the Rfam family "Bacterial small subunit ribosomal RNA", at positions 28 to 507 of the family's 1533-position model. The record is from RNAcentral.